RNAcentral lists this ribosomal RNA (497 nucleotides) under uncultured bacterium. RNAcentral's name for it is "partial 16S ribosomal RNA". It matches the Rfam family "Bacterial small subunit ribosomal RNA", at positions 28 to 507 of the family's 1533-position model. The record is from RNAcentral.
GAUGAACGCUGGCGGCGUGCCUAAUACAUGCAAGUCGAGCGAACGGACGAGAAGCUUGCUUCUCUGAUGUUAGCGGCGGACGGGUGAGUAACACGUGGAUAACCUACCUAUAAGACUGGGAUAACUUCGGGAAACCGUAUCUAAUACCGGAUAAUAUUUUGAACCGCAUGGUUCAAAAGUGAAAGACGGUCUUGCUGUCACUUAUAGAUGGAUCCGCGCUGCAUUAGCUAGUUGGUAAGGUAACGGCUUACCAAGGCGACGAUGCAUAGCCGACCUGAGAGGGUGAUCGGUCACACUGGAACUGAGACACGGUCCAGACUCCUACGGGAGGCAGCAGUAGGGAAUCUUCCGCAAUGGGCGAAAGCCUGACGGAGCAACGCCGCGUGAGUGAUGAAGGUCUUCGGAUCGUAAAACUCUGUUAUUAGGGAAGAACAUAUGUGUAAGUAACUGUGCACAUCUUGACGGUACCUAAUCAGAAAGCCACGGCUAACUACGUG